RNAcentral lists this transfer RNA (241 nucleotides) under Homo sapiens (human). RNAcentral describes it as "HSALNT0226892". The stretch from base 1 to 69 matches the Rfam family "tRNA". The record is from RNAcentral. Lineage: Eukaryota; Metazoa; Chordata; Mammalia; Primates; Hominidae.
CGGUGGCCUAAUGGAUAAGGCAUUGGCCUCCUAAGCCAGGGAUUGUGGGUUCGAGUCCCACCCGGGGUAAAGAAAGGCCGAAUUUUAGUGUUCCUUAUCGGGCAGAAGAGUUAGAAUGCGGUAUACUCCAGUGGAGGUGCGGAGUUUCCGAAGGGUUACCAAAAAGGCUCUAAAUCAGAAACCUCUACCUGUUUUCAAGGAAGACGAGCACAAUUUCACGUUACAGAAAAAAGGAGCCGAA